Molecule: ribosomal RNA, 471 nt
Filed under: uncultured bacterium
Lineage: Bacteria
Description: partial 16S ribosomal RNA
Rfam family: Bacterial small subunit ribosomal RNA
Source: RNAcentral
GACGAACGCUGGCGGCGUGCUUAACACAUGCAAGUCGAACGAUGAAGCCUAGCUUGCUAGGUGGAUUAGUGGCGAACGGGUGAGUAAUACGUGAGUAACCUACCUUUAACUCUGGGAUAAGCCUGGGAAACUGGGUCUAAUACCGGAUACGACCAAUCUCCGCAUGGGGUGUUGGUGGAAAGCGUUAUGUAGUGGUUAUAGAUGGGCUCACGGCCUAUCAGCUUGUUGGUGAGGUAACGGCUCACCAAGGCGACGACGGGUAGCCGGCCUGAGAGGGUGAACGGCCACACUGGGACUGAGACACGGCGCAGACUCCUACGGGAGGCAGCAGUGGGGAAUAUUGCACAAUGGGCGCAAGCCUGAUGCAGCGACGCCGCGUGAGGGAUGACGGCCUUCGGGUUGUAAACCGCUGUUAGCAGGGAAGAAGAGAAAUUGACGGUACCUGCAGAGAAAGCGCCGGCUAACUACGUG